GUGUGUAAAUAAUAAAGAAGUUGCAUAUCCAUUGACAUGGAUAUGGAUCAGGUGAUGAAGGGGCAAAUAUUAGCCCAGAAACGUUUUGACUUGGCAGAUCAGCAGUCUGUUACACUUUCUAAUAUCAUACUAUUUUAACAUAAUUUGUGCUCAUAAUCUGUUUGAGACUUGGCAUUAUAAAGUUGAUGAAUAG
Haliotis rubra (blacklip abalone) is the source of this 193-nucleotide long non-coding RNA. RefSeq lists it as uncharacterized. Lineage: Eukaryota; Metazoa; Mollusca; Gastropoda; Lepetellida; Haliotidae. The transcript has 3 exons. The record is from RefSeq and is a predicted model, not a curated record.